RNA transcript from Mangifera indica (mango), 2583 nucleotides. It is a transcript of the gene named probable DNA helicase MCM9, with no coding region annotated. NCBI's taxonomy places the organism in Eukaryota, Viridiplantae, Streptophyta, Magnoliopsida, Sapindales, Anacardiaceae. The transcript is spliced from 21 exons. The record is from RefSeq and is a predicted model, not a curated record.
ACUAAAAUGCACUUGGGGGAAGAUUUAAGCUGAGCUGACCCGAGUUUAGAUGAAGCCCGUUCAAAUGCAAAAUGAUAAGUCUAAGCUUUAGUUUGGUUGGUGCAUAAUAACAUUAAAGGUGAGAAGAGUCAUUGGAAAAAGAGAAAAUUUGCUAGAGAAGAAGAAUAGAUUGAGUAGAAGAAGAAGAAUCGUUAUUGAGCUGAAAUGUCAUUGAAAAUUUUGAAAACAAUCUCAAGAGCCAUGAUGAAGGGUAACAGCGACUAUGUGGUGCAAUCGAGCAAGAUUCAUCGGAAACUAGGACAAUGAAUUAAAAUUUGAUUUUUAUGAGGGUGUUUUUGUCAAUGCACGAUAAAAGGUUAACGUGUAUAAAUAUCCUUGUUCCCGCCCAAACACAAGCUUUGCCGUCAUUCCCCGUUCCCAUCCGUCGAUGGAGACUGAGAAUGUGCCCGUUCACUUGGAAUCUCUGGCGGCUUUUCUGGUUCGCCACUAUUCCGAUCAGCUCCGCUCCAUUACGCUUUCUCCAGAUCCCAAACUCCAUUACCCUCUCUACGUCGAUUAUGCAGAGCUAAUGGACGAGGAUCCUCCGCUUGCCCAUCUCAUCUUUUCCAAACCAACUCGCUACUUGCGUAACUUCGAUGAUGCUGCCAUCUGGGCUCAUAAAAUGAUAUUUGACAAGUUAAAGUUCUCUGAGAAAGGAGUUGAAAAGAAAUUCAUUUGUGUUCGUAUCAACAUUGGUGGUUCUCCGCUUGAAUGUCCUGAAACAUUUCCAAGUAUUGGACGUGUGAGAGUGAAGCACCAUGGGAUUCUUCUAACACUUAAGGGAACUGUAAUCCGGUCAGGAUCAACCAAAAUGUAUGAAGGGGAGAGGACAUACAUGUGCAAGAAGUGCAAACACAUGUUUCCAGUUUAUCCUGAGUUGGAAACAAGGAACUCCAUACUACUACCAUCCAGUUGUCCCUCUCAGAAGUCAAAACCUUGUGAAGGGACAAAUUUCCAGUAUGUAGAAAAUACUAUAAUGUGCCACGAUUAUCAGGAAAUCAAAAUUCAAGAAAGUACUCAGGUUUUGGGUAUUGGGGUCAUUCCUCGUUCAAUUUUGGUCGUUUUGAAGGAUGAUCUUGUUGACAUUGUUAAGGCUGGAGAUGAUAUCAUUGUGACUGGCAUUUUGACAGCAAAGUGGUCUCCUGAUUUAAAAGAUGUGCGCUGUGACCUGGAUCCUGUAUUAAUCGCUAAUCAUGUUAGGAGAACUAAUGAGCUGAAAUCAGAUAUUGAUAUCCCUGAUGAUAUUAUCAUGCAAUUCAAGCAGUUCUGGACAGAAUUUAAAGAUACCCCACUUAAAGGGAGAAAUGCUAUUCUACGUGGCAUUUGCCCUCAAGUUUUUGGACUCUUCACUGUUAAGCUGGCAGUUGCAUUGACAUUAAUUGGAGGUGUUCAACAUGUCGAUGCUUCUGGGACUAAGGUUCGAGGAGAGUCUCACUUGCUUCUGGUUGGUGAUCCAGGUAGUACUGGAAAGUCUCAGUUCCUGAAAUUUGCAGCUAAGUUAAGUAACCGAUCAGUUAUCACUACUGGGUUGGGAAGCACUAGUGCUGGAUUGACUGUUACUGCUGUCAAGGAUGGAGGGGAAUGGAUGUUAGAAGCCGGAGCCCUCGUUUUGGCUGAUGGAGGUCUUUGCUGCAUUGACGAAUUUGAUAGCAUGAGGGAACAUGACAGAGCAACAAUACACGAGGCAAUGGAGCAGCAAACUAUUAGUGUUGCCAAGGCUGGCCUUGUGACCACUCUAAGUACUAGGACCAUUGUAUUCGGUGCAACAAAUCCCAAAGGGCAUUAUGAUCCUAAUCAAUCGCUCUCGGUCAAUACAACACUCUCUGGUCCCUUAUUGAGCAGAUUUGACAUAGUCCUUGUCCUUCUUGACACAAAAAAUCCUGAAUGGGAUGCAGUUGUAUCAUCUCACAUUCUUGCUGAGGGAGAACCAGAUAAAGGAAAGCAUGAAGAACAGAUAGGAAAUGUCUGGCCACUUUCAAUGCUUCGCAGGUACAUUCACUUUGUAAAAGGAUACUUCAAGCCAGUCCUUACAAUGGAGGCAAAAAAAGUCAUCUCAAGCUAUUAUCAACUUCAAAGACGAUCUGGAACUCAAAAUGCAGCUAGGACAACUGUGCGAAUGCUGGAAAGUUUGAUACGCCUAGCCCAAGUGUUGCAGCUCAUGCAAGGCUUAUGUUCAGAAAUGAGGUUACUCAAUUAGAUGCCAUAACUGCAAUUCUAUGCAUUGAAUCAUCAAUGACUACCUCAGCUAUUGUCGACAGUGUAGGGAAUGCCUUACACUCUAAUUUCACAGAAAACCCUGAUCUGGAAUAUGCCAAGCAAGAAAGGAUAAUUCUUGAAAAGCUGAGAUCAAUGGAAGACGUUGCCAAUAUGGAAGACUUGUGAGGAUGAAAUCGUGCGGUGGUGAGGAUAAUUUUUGUUCGCAAAGUUGUAUCCACACCAGCCCUUUAAUGUUAAAGUGAUGUAUAGAAAUUAUAUUUUUGUUCUGGAAAGUUUAUUUUAAUUGAAGGCUUAAUUGAAGCAGUAAGUCGUAUAAUUAAAACGCCA